Long non-coding RNA from Serinus canaria (Common canary), 370 nucleotides. RefSeq lists it as uncharacterized. The transcript has 2 exons. The record is from RefSeq and is a predicted model, not a curated record. Lineage: Eukaryota; Metazoa; Chordata; Aves; Passeriformes; Fringillidae.
UGAGUUUCCCUGCCUGGCUGGUCCCUGCCAUGUGCCUGGAGAGGCCCAGGUGGCUGCUUUGCUUCCUUGCUGAGGUUCCAGGACUUGCUUGGAGUGGGGAACCUUUGAAUCAGCUUGGCUGAAGCUCCUGGGAUCUCCAGUUUCCCCUGAGCUGCUCUGCUGCCAGCCUGUGGAGGAAUUGCUUUUACCAUACCAUUAAGAGCAGACUACAGGAACUCCAAUUCCAUCUGACAUCUCCUGCCAGAGUGAGACCCAUCCUGAUGUGCAACAUCCAUUGCUGUGCUGCAGGAACCCUUGGAACUGCCAGGAUGGCAACACUGAUUUACCCUUUGUAAAAAUUAAUGGAUUUCCCCCCCUUUUUUCUCUUUUU